CCUACGGGUGGCAGCAGUGAGGAAUAUUGGUCAAUGGCCGUAAGGCUGAACCAGCCAAGUCGCGUGAAGGAAGAAGGAUCUAUGGUUUGUAAACUUCUUUUAUAUGGGAAUAAAAUGUUCCACGUGUGGGAUUUUGUAUGUACCAUAUGAAUAAGGAUCGGCUAACUCCGUGCCAGCAGCCGCGGUAAUACGGAGGAUCCGAGCGUUAUCCGGAUUUAUUGGGUUUAAAGGGAGCGUAGGUGGGUUGUUAAGUCAGUUGUGAAAGUUUGCGGCUCAACCGUAAAAUUGCAGUUGAAACUGGCAGUCUUGAGUACAGUAGAGGUGGGCGGAAUUCGUGGUGUAGCGGUGAAAUGCUUAGAUAUCACGAAGAACCCCGAUUGCGAAGGCAGCUUACUGGACUGCAACUGACACUGAGGCUCGAAAGUGUGGGUAUCAAACAGGAUUAGAUACCCCAGUAGUC
Molecule: ribosomal RNA, 460 nt
Filed under: uncultured bacterium
Lineage: Bacteria
Description: partial 16S ribosomal RNA
Rfam family: Bacterial small subunit ribosomal RNA
Source: RNAcentral